UCCAUGGCCAAGGAGGAUUUCAGCGAGUUGCCAGCCUUGGCGCCUACAAGGACUGGCGUGGAUCUCCUUGGAUGCCUCAGUGAGUCCAUUCCGGCGAUGUCUGUGUCGGUUGAGGAACAAUGUUUUUGCAGGGAGCGAGCAAGGAGGGAGGCCAUAUGACUACAACUCCCAGAACGCCCUGCUGAUGACACAAAAGUUGGGAGUGUUGUGAAGAGUCUGGAGGGUUGCCAGAGAUUACAGCGGGAAAUCUCUGACAGGGAUGCAGAACUGGGCUGAGAAGUGGCAGAUGGAGUUCAACCCAGGUGGCUUCCUGUUCCUGAUAUAUAUCCAAACUCAAGAUUAUGAAGAUACGAAAACAAUCACUCCCCAAUGUUUCAUCAACCAUAGCAUCCCACACCCCAGCCAGUAUGUUCAAAAUUUAAGUUAAAUCUAAAGUGGUUUUUGAAUUAUUCUGAACGUUACUUCUGAUUGUGUCAAGCAGGACUGCUGUAUCUAUAUAACACCAAAUCAGAAAUAAACAUAAGACCAUAAUGUUAUGAAUGUACCACAGCUCUGAGGGGCCGAAGGGGCGGGAGCAGCCCCUUCCUUCCGGAGAAUCGCAAGAGCACUAUUAAUUCGGGUCUCGGACCCAGGCAAAUGAGAGACAAUGUAACGGUUUUGGCCAUGGCUCUUAGAGACACCUGUGCUAAGGGACACUCUGCUACGUGACAGCUACCACGGAUAUGGACACCCUUGGGCAAUGUGGGGGUAGGGAUCGCAUCACCCUACUUUGAUGGACAUCUACAACUCUGCAAGUCAAGAUAAAAGGGGACUGCAAAAGGCGGUACCCCAGAGAGAGAUACACCAGAAGGACUCGAUCGCCCAACGCUCCCGUGAUAGCUGGAAGCCAGUCAAAAGCCACGUGCGCUCCGUAACUUCUCUGCCUGGGGAGCUGGUGGCUGAUAAUACCGAGAAGGACUUCAAACUAAUAACGGGGAAACAACGCUCCCCUGAUUCAACGGAGUUGCUUCGUCAAAGACCCGGGCAAGUUUUUCCGUUUCUCCUCACUCUCUCUGAAACACGUGAAACCCAGCGAUUCCCCAAAAAAGACUGAAGGCUGCAGACUUCUGAGUGACUUUUAUAUUUCCAACGGACAAUAUAUUAUCCCCUAGACAACAGUCGAGAUUAUUUCUUAAUGAUGAUUAUUGCUAUACCCGCGCUUUAGAUUGAGUUUUGCCGAUGUAUAUGUUCUGAAUGUUUGGUUUAACCUUAAUUUUGUGCCCCCUUUAUGAAUAAAACGUUCGAAAAUAGUGCCAUCAGACUCCAACGGACCUCUCUAUCUUUGCUGGUGAGUUAUCCAGUUACGGGAUACGUAACAACGUGGGGUUUCUUGUCCGGGAUUUGAAACCAAAUUGGGAGGCCAGUGAAUCGGGCUUGUAGUCCAAAACUUGAAUCUGGUUAUGCGGGUAGCCAGAUGGGAAACCAGCAAAGAUAGACGUGGGUGAAUUUAUGAAAAACCCAACUGUGAGGCGGCCACCAAAUCAGAAUUGUUAAAUUUGGCGAAGGGGUUGAACCUGAGGUCGUCCAUGAAAAAGCGGGAGGUGCGAAGGGCCACAACCCAGUAGUACAUUGGGAAGAAGGUGUUUGAAGCUGAGGUAUUGGGAGAUAUCCCUGAAAAGGUACCAUCAAUUUGGACGGUUCAGUUAGAGAUAGAGAAAUUAAGGCUGGAACAUGAAAUUAAGUUAAAAGAGCUGGAAGCGGCUGAGAGAGAGAAAGAAAGGCAAAGACAGCAUGAAAUUCACCUAAAGAGCUAGAAGCAGUCGAGAAUGAGAAACGGAGGCAACUUGACUGGGAGAUGGAGAAGAUAAGGAACGACCGAAGAGAUCAAGAGUUAGACCGAGCGGAGCGGUUUAAUGUUAGUAGGGAGUUGAGAUUGGUACCCCCAUUCGAGGAGACAGAUGUCGAUAGUUAUUUCUUGUUUUUUGAAAAGGUGGCAGUAAAUCAGAAGUGGCCAAAAGAGCAGUGGGUGGCGUUGUUACAAAGUGUGUUAAAGGGGAAGGCCCAACGAGCAUAUGUGGCGUUAUCCCUGGAGGAGGGGGAAGCAAAGAAUUAUACUGAAGUAAAGGAGGACAUUCUCCGGGCUUACAAAUUGGUAUCCUUGCAUAGGGUCCUUCUAGAUUGUGAGUUGGUGUCGGGACCAGUGGAGCUGGGGGUCCUGCCGGAGUUGCCGGGGGAAGGCGUGGAUGUCCUUCUGGGGAACGACCUAGCGGGAGGGAAAAUGGGAACAGCCGUGAAGCUGACAACCCAGCCUGCGAGGAUUGAGGCCCCUCCCUCCGAUCUGAAGAUAUACCCCGCCUGCGCGGUCACUCGCAGCAUGUCGAAAAAGACAGCUGAGAGAGAGCAGUCUAAAUCUGGCCGGUUUUGAUUUGGCCGACACGUUUUUACCGACUCUGUACCAGCGAGGGUUCGAGGAAGGUAAACCGGAGAGUAAGGAGGGGGGAGAGAGUAAACAGGGGGAGGUAGACCUGCCCUUAGCCAGACGAGAGUUUGUACGGGAACAGGAAAGUGACGAGGAGCUGAUAGCCUUGAGAGAGUUGGUUCUUUCGGAGACCGAGGUUGAAACCGAGCCCGAAGGUUACUACCUGAAGUAACCAUCAUCAACAGGUAGUAAGUAACUUGUUGAUGAGGAAGUGGAGGCCCCCCAAGGUGUCGGUCGAUGAGGACUGGGCGGUGGUACAUCAGAUAGUAGUCCCGAAAGCGUAUUGGGACGAAAUUCUGAACUUAGCUCAUAAGGGACCGUUAGGUGGGCAUCUGGGAAUAACGAAGACAGUGGAUCGGGUUCAAAGUGAGUUCUAUUGGCCAAACAUGAGAAAAGAGAUUACUGAAUAUUGUAAAAGGUGUCAUACCUGCCAAAUGGUGGGUAAGCCGAACCAAGUUAUCCCUAAGGCACCCCUCCGACCCAUCCCCGCGUGCGAGGAGCCUUUCUCCCGAAUCAUUGUGGAUUUUGUGGGACCGCUACCUAAAACUGGGAGGGGGCUGCAGUAUAUCAUGACCAUGAUGUGUGCCGCUACACGAUUUCCAGAGGCUGUGCCUCUGGGUAAUAUUAGGACCGCUGUGGUGGUGAGGGCCCUCAUCAGUUUCUUUACCACAGUGGGGCUGCCUAAGGAGAUACAGUCACAUCUAACGCAUUUCGGCAGAUGAUGACCCAGCUAGGGAUCAAACAAAUUCUAGCCUCCGUGUACCACCCGGGUACAAGGGGCGUUGGAAAGGUUCCACGCUACACUAAAGACCAUGCUUAAAACUUAUUGUCAGGAGAACGUUCGAGACUGGGAUGAGGCUUUACCCCUUCUGUUAUUUGCCGUCAGGGAUACAGUCCAGUGCUCACUGGGGUUCAGUCCGUUUGAGCUCAUUUUCGGUCACAGACCCAGGGGCCCUCUAACCCUCCUGAGAGAAAAGUGGUCCAGCCCGACCGUUCAAGUCAGCGUGAUCGACUAUGUUCUGAAAUUCCGGGAGAGGCUGCAUAAAGUACUCGCCUUGGCAAAGGAAAACCUUAAAGAAUCCCAGGAAAAAAAUGAGCUAGUGGUAUAACCCGAGAGCGAGAGAACGAGAGUUUUACGUAGGCGACAAGGUUUUGGUCCUAUUUCCGGUAGUUAACCAUCCCCUUCAGGCGAGGUUUCCAGGACCAUAUACAGAGCAUAAGAAAAUAGACUCGCUGAAUUACGUGAUUGAAACCCCCGAUCGGCGAAAGCCGACACAGUUAGUUCACGUGAACAUGAUGAAAAGGUACCAUGACACUACCCCCGCGGUGGUCGGUGCGGCCAUGAAAACCGAUCACAACCCGUUGGUAUUCCUGGCCAAUAUGGAAAAUAAAAACAGGAGGUUAUUGAGCUGGAGUCUGAUGCUGCUGGAAUUCGAUAUUAAGAUACAGCACGUUACGGGGAGUGAUAAUAUGCUAGCGGAUUGUUUAUCUCGAUGCUGAACUAAGUGUAUAACUCUGUAAUUAAAAGAAAAAGCUUGGGUAUUCUGUUAGAUUAAAAACCAUGUAAGACUCUGUACAACUCCGUUUUUAACCGCUGGUAAAAAACGUUUUUUUAGAGGGGAGGUGUUAUGAAUGUACCACGGCUCUGAGGGGCCGAAGGGGCGGGAGCAGCCCCCUCCUUCCGGAGAAUCGCAAGAGCACUAUUAAUUCGGGUCUCGGACCCAGGCAAAUGAGAGACAAUGUAACGGUUUUGGCCAUGGCUCUUAGAGACACCUGUGCUAAGGGACACUCUGCUACGUGACAGCUACCACGGAUAUGGACACCCUCGGGCAAUGUGGGGGUGGGGAUUGCAUCACCCUACUUUGAUGGACAUCUACAACUCUGCAAGUCAAGAUAAAAGGGGACUGCAAAAGGCGGUACCGCAGAGAGACGCACCAGAAGGACUCGAUCGCCCAACGCUCUCGUGAUAGCUGGAAGCCAGUCAAAAGCCACGUGUGCUCUGUAACUUCUCUGCCUGGGGAGCGGGUGGCUGAUAAUACCGAGAAGGACUUCAAACUAAUAACAGGGAAACAACGCUCCCCUGAUUUAAUGGAGUUGCUUCGUCAAAGACCCGGGCAAGUUUUGUCGUUUCUCCUCACUCUCUCUGAAACACGUGAAACCCAGCGAUUCCCCAAAAAAGACUGAAGCCUGCAGACUUCUGAGUGACUUUUAUAUUUCCAACGGACAAUAUAUUAUCCCCUAGACAACAGUCGAGAUUAUUUCUUAAUGAUGAUUAUUGCUAUACCCGCGCUUUAGAUUGAGUUUUGCUGAUGUAUAUGUUCUGAAUGUUUGGUUUAACCUUAAUUUUGUGCCCCCUUUAUGAAUAAAACGUUCGAAAAUAG
Long non-coding RNA from Hypanus sabinus (Atlantic stingray), 4839 nucleotides. RefSeq lists it as uncharacterized. NCBI's taxonomy places the organism in Eukaryota, Metazoa, Chordata, Chondrichthyes, Myliobatiformes, Dasyatidae. The record is from RefSeq and is a predicted model, not a curated record. The transcript is spliced from 2 exons.